This 433-nucleotide ribosomal RNA is filed under the name uncultured bacterium. RNAcentral describes it as "partial 16S ribosomal RNA". It matches the Rfam family "Bacterial small subunit ribosomal RNA", at positions 29 to 507 of the family's 1533-position model. The record is from RNAcentral.
AACGAACGCUGGCGGCAUGCCUAACACAUGCAAGUCGAACGAGACCUUCGGGUCUAGUGGCGCACGGGUGCGUAACGCGUGGGAACCUGCCCUUAGGUUCGGAAUAACUCCCCGAAAGGGGUGCUAAUACCGGAUAAUGUCUUCGGACCAAAGAUUUAUCGCCUUUGGAUGGGCCCGCGUUGGAUUCGCUAGUUGGUAGGGUAAAAGCCUACCAAGGCGACGAUCCAUAGCUGGUCUGAGAGGAUGAUCAGCCACACUGGGACUGAGACACGGCCCAGACUCCUACGGGAGGCAGCAGUGGGGAAUAUUGGACAAUGGGCGAAAGCCUGAUCCAGCAAUGCCGCGUGAGUGAUGAAGGCCUUAGGGUUGUAAAGCUCUUUUACCCGGGAUGAUAAUGACAGUACCGGGAGAAUAAGCACCGGCUAACUCCGUG